GACGAACGCUGGCGGCGUGCUUAACACAUGCAAGUCGAGCGGGUAAGGCCCUUUCGGGGGUACACGAGCGGCGAACGGGUGAGUAACACGUGGGUGACCUGCCCUCAGCUCUGGGAUAAGCCUGGGAAACUGGGUCUAAUACCGGAUAUGACUCCAUGACGCAUGUUGUGGGGUGGAAAGCCUUGUGCGGCUGAGGAUGGGCCCGCGGCCUAUCAGCUUGUUGGGGGGUGAUGGCCUACCAAGGCGACGACGGGUAGCCGGCCUGAGAGGGCGACCGGCCACACUGGGACUGAGACACGGCCCAGACUCCUACGGGAGGCAGCAGUGGGGAAUCUUGCGCAAUGGGCGAAAGCCUGACGCAGCGACGCCGCGUGAGGGAUGACGGCCU
Molecule: ribosomal RNA, 388 nt
Filed under: uncultured bacterium
Lineage: Bacteria
Description: bacterial SSU rRNA
Rfam family: Bacterial small subunit ribosomal RNA
Source: RNAcentral